CAUCCUCCAAGGCUAAAUACUCCUGACUGACCGAUAGUGAACCAGUACCGUGAGGGAAAGGCGAAAAGAACCCCGGCGAGGGGAGUGAAAAAGAACCUGAAACCGUGUACGUACAAGCAGUGGGAGCACCCUUUGGGGUGUGACUGCGUACCUUUUGUAUAAUGGGUCAGCGACUUAUAUUCUGUAGCAAGGUUAACCGAAUAGGGGAGCCGGAGGGAAACCGAGUCUUAACCGGGCGUUAAGUUGCAGGGUAUAGACCCGAAACC
RNAcentral lists this ribosomal RNA (266 nucleotides) under Salmonella enterica. RNAcentral's name for it is "partial 23S ribosomal RNA". It matches the Rfam family "Bacterial large subunit ribosomal RNA", at positions 454 to 722 of the family's 2925-position model. RNAcentral also lists the same sequence under 4 other names. Lineage: Bacteria; Pseudomonadati; Pseudomonadota; Gammaproteobacteria; Enterobacterales; Enterobacteriaceae. The record is from RNAcentral.